GAUGAAGAACGUAGCGAAAUGCGAUACGUAAUGUGAAUUGCAGAAUUCAGUGAAUCAUCGAGUCUUUGAACGCACAUUGCGCCCCCUGGUAUUCCGGGGGGCAUGCCUGUCCGAGCGUCAUUGCUGCCCUCAAGCACGGCUUGUGUGUUGGGCCUCCGUCCUCCUCCCGGGGGACGGGCCCGAAAGGCAGCGGCGGCACCGCGUCCGGUCCUCGAGCGUAUGGGGCUUCGUCACCCGCUCUUGUAGGCCCGGCCGGCGCUUGCCGACACAUCAAUCUUUUUUCCAGGUUGACCUCGGAUCAGGUAGGGAUACCCGCUGAACUUAAGCAUAUCAAUAAGCGGA
This 342-nucleotide unclassified non-coding RNA is filed under the name soil metagenome. RNAcentral's name for it is "partial contains 5.8S ribosomal RNA, internal transcribed spacer 2, and large subunit ribosomal RNA". The stretch from base 1 to 120 matches the Rfam family "5.8S ribosomal RNA", at positions 35 to 154 of the family's 154-position model. The record is from RNAcentral.